AGUGAACGCUGGCGGUAGGCCUAACACAUGCAAGUCGAACGGCAGCACAGUAAGAGCUUGCUCUUACGGGUGGCGAGUGGCGGACGGGUGAGGAAUACAUCGGAAUCUACUUUUUCGUGGGGGAUAACGUAGGGAAACUUACGCUAAUACCGCAUACGACCUACGGGUGAAAGCAGGGGAUCUUCGGACCUUGCGCGAUUGAAUGAGCCGAUGUCGGAUUAGCUAGUUGGCGGGGUAAAGGCCCACCAAGGCGACGAUCCGUAGCUGGUCUGAGAGGAUGAUCAGCUACACUGGAACUGAGACACGGUCCAGACUACUACGGGAGGCAGCAGUGGGGAAUAUUGGACAAUGGGCGCAAGCCUGAUCCAGCCAUACCGCGUGGGUGAAGAAGGCCUUCGGGUUGUAAAGCCCUUUUGUUGGGAAAGAAAAGCAGCAGGUUAAUACCCCGCUGUUCUGACGGUACCCAAAGAAUAAGCACCGGCUAACUUCGU
This 491-nucleotide ribosomal RNA is filed under the name uncultured bacterium. RNAcentral describes it as "partial 16S ribosomal RNA". It matches the Rfam family "Bacterial small subunit ribosomal RNA", at positions 29 to 506 of the family's 1533-position model. The record is from RNAcentral.